Molecule: non-coding RNA, 79 nt
Filed under: Pacificitalea manganoxidans
Lineage: Bacteria; Pseudomonadati; Pseudomonadota; Alphaproteobacteria; Rhodobacterales; Paracoccaceae
Also listed under: 1 other name
Description: Alpha-proteobacteria SAM riboswitch aptamer
Rfam family: Alpha-proteobacteria SAM riboswitch aptamer
About the family: This family is a riboswitch found predominantly in alpha-proteobacteria that binds S-adenosyl methionine (SAM). This SAM riboswitch is located upstream of the metA and metC genes in Agrobacterium tumefaciens, and other methionine and SAM biosynthesis genes in other alpha-proteobacteria.
Source: Rfam by way of RNAcentral
UCGCUUCGCCGUGGCGCUUUGUUCACCGGAUUGCGGGCCACGUUAAACAUCCCGCUAAAGAGGUCAGGCACAGGGAACC